Molecule: ribosomal RNA, 440 nt
Filed under: uncultured bacterium
Lineage: Bacteria
Description: partial 16S ribosomal RNA
Rfam family: Bacterial small subunit ribosomal RNA
Source: RNAcentral
CCUACGGGUGGCAGCAGUGGGGAAUAUUGCACAAUGGUGGAAACCCUGAUGCAGCGAAGCCGCGUGAGCGAUGAAGUUUUUCGGUAUGUAAAGCUCUAUCAGCAGGGAAGAAAAUGACGGUACCUGACUACGACUCCCCGGCUAACUACGUGCCAGCAGCCGCGGUAAUACGUAGGGGGCAAGGGUUAUCCGGAAUUACUGGGCGUAAAGCGCUCGUAGGCGGUAUGUCAAGUCAAGGGUGAAAUCCCCGCGCUCAACGUGGGAACUGCCGUUGAAACUGGCAAACUGGAGAGGGUGAGAGGAGAGUGGAAUUCGAGGUGUAGGAGUGAAAUCCGUAGAUAUCGGGAGGAACAUCAGUGGCGAAGGCGACUAGCUGGCACAUAACUGACGCUGAGGAGCGAAAGCGUGGGUAGCAAACAGGAUUAGAUACCCCUGUAGUC